This 297-nucleotide ribosomal RNA is filed under the name uncultured bacterium. Its description in RNAcentral is "partial 16S ribosomal RNA". It matches the Rfam family "Bacterial small subunit ribosomal RNA", at positions 775 to 1067 of the family's 1533-position model. The record is from RNAcentral.
GGAUUAGAUACCCUGGUAGUCCACGCCGUAAACGAUGGGUACUAGGUGUUGGGAGGAUUGACCCUUUCAGUGCCGACGCUAACGCAUUAAGUACCCCGCCUGGGGAGUACGGCCGCAAGGCUGAAACUCAAAGGAAUUGACGGGGGCCCGCACAAGCGGUGGAGCAUGUGGUUUAAUUCGAAGCAACGCGAAGAACCUUACCUGGGCUUGACAUGUCGGUAGUACUUCCCUGGAAACAGGGGGGGACCCUUCGGGGAGCCGUCACAGGUGCUGCAUGGCUGUCGUCAGCUCGUGCCG